UGGGGAAUUUUGGACAAUGGGGGAAACCCUGAUCCAGCCAUCCCGCGUGUGCGAUGAAGGCCUUCGGGUUGUAAAGCACUUUUGGCAGGAAAGAAACGUCAUGGGUUAAUACCCCGUGAAACUGACGGUACCUGCAGAAUAAGCACCGGCUAACUACGUGCCAGCAGCCGCGGUAAUACGUAGGGUGCAAGCGUUAAUCGGAAUUACUGGGCGUAAAGCGUGCGCAGGCGGUUCGGAAAGAAAGAUGUGAAAUCCCAGAGCUCAACUUUGGAACUGCAUUUUUAACUACCGGGCUAGAGUGUGUCAGAGGGAGGUGGAAUUCCGCGUGUAGCAGUGACAUGCGUAGGUAUGCGGAGGAACACCGAUGGCGAAGGCAGCCUCCUGGUAUAACACUGACGCUCAUGCACGAAAGCGUGGGGAGCAAACAGG
RNAcentral lists this ribosomal RNA (429 nucleotides) under Acidobacteriota bacterium. RNAcentral's name for it is "Acidobacteria bacterium partial 16S ribosomal RNA". It matches the Rfam family "Bacterial small subunit ribosomal RNA", at positions 355 to 776 of the family's 1533-position model. The record is from RNAcentral. Lineage: Bacteria; Pseudomonadati; Acidobacteriota.